ACACAGUCCCCAUAUGGGGUUUCUGACCUGUAGUAAGUAAAGAAUAUCACUUCCUAUCAGGUCCAGGAGCCCAGAGUUAUCUUGGGACCUCAAACGGAGAGAAAUUUACCCAACUCAUAGGUAUUUGAAGAUGUGUGACAUGGAUAAAAAGCUCCCCAUAGUGGAAAGAGGUGCCAUAAAACACUAGACAAUGAGAGCAAGAUGGGGGACCCAAAAUGGUGCCCUGGCAUCGGCAAGUGGUGAAACCAGCCAUCUGGCCCUGUGCCCUGUCCUCAGAAGUGCCCCUGCCGCCCCAGCAGGUACAUUUGCAGGGAAAAAAGAAAUGGCUUAUAUUGACUGACUACCAUCAAUGUGCCAGAGAGGUCUUCUUAUCUCAUCUUAGAGGUGAGAGAACAAGUCAACCCGCUGGUAAAUGGGCCAAUCAGAAAUGAAAUCAGCUCAUCACCAGUUCCAGUCACUUUUCCAUUUUGAAAAGCCUCCUGCAUCAUUCUCUGCACAUAUGCAGCAGAUAUAGACACCCAAGCACACCCCUAAGGAGACAGCCCACUUGGACUCAAGGACAUUCCCUGUGGCAGCUCUCUGAAGACAGAAUUAUUUCUUUGGCAGAGAAAAGCAUGCUGUUCCUUAAGAGGACAUUAGAGGAGAACAACUUUUCUCCCUACUGAACCCUUUGCACAAAUAUCUUCUAGAAGGACUUGUUCCUCACCCACUGGCCCUUGAUUCUGUCUCACUAUUGAAUGAGGCUUUUCCACCAAACAGCUUUAAGGAUGGAUGUGUGCUCUGGAGAGAGCAAGAAACAUGUGAGAGCCGGUUUGCUUUCUGUGGGUCAGCCAACGUCUCCGCCAGUCCUAUGACUGUCAUUUCACUGAGGAUUGAUAUGCCUGAAGUCACUACAAAAACAAAUGAUGCUCUGAAGCUCAUUCCGCCCUUGCACAAAGAAGCCAAAAAAAUAGGGCUCUAAUUUAUUUUAGAAUUGGCAUAAUGAGACAAAAGAGUCCACUGUGGGAAAUUUUUGCUUAUGCAAUGAAAUUUUUACUCUCCAGCUCUUUAACAAUUAAUAUUUUUUUUAAUUUUGACUUUUAUGAAUGAACAACCAAUGGGAUUACGGUUGGGAGGUAGUAGAGUUUUUAAACAGCUAAUGAAGUCCACUACCAAUAAUGGCAGACUCCCCAAGCUCAGACCUCUGCUCUGCCAGUUGACUGCCUAUGUUUUCUGGGAUGAGCUGUUUAGCCUCUCUGCUACACAAAUUCUUCACCUGUAAAAUGUAGACAAUAAAAAGUCCUGCC
This 1286-nucleotide long non-coding RNA is filed under the name Homo sapiens (human). RNAcentral's name for it is "long intergenic non-protein coding RNA 2149". Lineage: Eukaryota; Metazoa; Chordata; Mammalia; Primates; Hominidae. The record is from RNAcentral.